Molecule: long non-coding RNA, 1114 nt
Organism: Hemicordylus capensis (graceful crag lizard)
Lineage: Eukaryota; Metazoa; Chordata; Lepidosauria; Squamata; Cordylidae
Exons: 4
Source: RefSeq, a predicted model, not a curated record
UGUUCGCCGUCUCUCCAGCUCGUUCUCCUGGCUGGCAAUCGAGGCAGCAGACAAGCUGCAAAGAGCUCCUUUUCUCCCGCCUCUCAGCUGAUCGGCAGGUGGGCGGGGCUUCCACGGAGGCCUCGUGUAGGCCUCUGUGAAGCCUGAACUCCAGUAGGGCCCAAGCCAGCCAGGAAGGAGGAGGCAGCCAGAGUGGCCACCACUGUUCUCUGCAGCAGAAGACCCCUUGCUGCCAGCCUCCCUGAAAAGCUGAUUUUGAGGACCAGGAGAUCCCAAUAAAUAUGGGUAUGGUAGGUACAGGAGGCUGCUGAUGGCAGAGAAGUCUAUGGAAGUCCUGUCCCCUCCUAGGUGUCUUGAGGCAUUCCUCACCCUUUUGCCAGGACCGCUCCCGAGAUGAGGGAUACUACAGACACAUCAACCAAUGAAUAUGAAACACAGUGGAAGGCAAGAAGAUGAACGAAGGAAGAAAAUUCGAGCAAAGAAAAGUCAAAGAAUAAAAGGGAAAAUGCUGAAGAAUGCUGGAGCUCUUUGGAGACCUGUUCAGAGGAGCGAGGCAGGAUAAAAACUGGGCGGUCCGAGCCUAGAAACACCAUGAGAGCCUAAAACUCAUGAGAUCCUCUCUGGGAGCAAUUGUGCGUGACAACCAGUGUUCCCUGUAAGAAGGAUUCUCAGAUGUUGACUACUGCAACUCCCACUAUCCCCAGCUGCAAUGGUCUUUGGCUGAGGAUUAUGGGAGAUGUAGUCAAUAACAUCUGGGAAUCCAUCUGAUACUUGUGACAACCCAUUUAGAGGGAUACCUCCUAGGAUAUAGGAGAGAAAGGGUAUAGCACCAGGAGUCUAGAGUUCAACUGGAAUUGCCAAUUUACUGUGUCCAUAGUGAAGUGGUUGUUCUCCACAAAGCUUGUCCUAAGUGAAACGCAGCACCAGGCAGUAGUAAUCCUUUUUGAAAUUCUAUGCCAAAUGCGUUUCAAACGUCGUGGUCUUCAUCAGUGGCAAUAAUAUUGACAAAUCAUGCUCCCAUGUAGUACGUUUAUGUAAUACAAAUAUAUGUACACAAGACCAUGCUGACACACUUCCUCUAGUAUGGCCCUUCCCCUCAAGUUGCGAGAAAGUU